ACCGGCAGCUAGCUCUCUUCAACUCUCACAUGGUAGCCCACUUGAGUUAAGCAGGGCUGUGCCUAUUCAGUACCUGGAUGGGAGACCACAUAGGAAAGCUAGGUUGCUGCCGGAA
Danio rerio (zebrafish) is the source of this 115-nucleotide ribosomal RNA. Lineage: Eukaryota; Metazoa; Chordata; Actinopteri; Cypriniformes; Danionidae. The record is from Ensembl.